Coccinella septempunctata (seven-spotted ladybird) is the source of this 526-nucleotide long non-coding RNA. RefSeq lists it as uncharacterized. The record is from RefSeq and is a predicted model, not a curated record. NCBI's taxonomy places the organism in Eukaryota, Metazoa, Arthropoda, Insecta, Coleoptera, Coccinellidae. The transcript is spliced from 3 exons.
AAUACUGACGAAGAAACAAGAAAGAUUGCUGGAGAGCAAUUUAUUGGAUUUAUCAACAAACUGAGUGGUAAUGAUUUGAACAAAUUUUUAUCAGAAGUAUGGACAUUGAAGAGAAGAAUGGAGAAAGAUACUGAGCAGAUAAGUAAGAAGAGGAAAGUUGAAAAACAAUCUUACUUCCCGAAUAAGAAAUAAUUUCUUCUAAGAACUUACUGUAGAGCUCUCAAGAUGACUAAUUCAACUAUACAGUCCAGACACACACACAGCAUGUCCUCACUAACACCCGGGUAUAGGCAAAAUUGAAGGUGCUAUCUGUGAUUACUUAACUAACUAACUGAAUUAACCAACCAUUGAGACUGUGUAUUAAUGAAUGUGAAAAGUGAUGGAGAAGAUUUAUAACUUUAUGUAUCUUAAGCUAUGUUAGAUUGUCUAUGUUAAUGUUUAGAAUGUAUUGGUGAAAAAUGAUAAUUGUAUGUAUUUUAAGAGGUGAUGGUGAAGAAUAAUAUUUGCAUGCAGCUUAUGCUUUGAA